Molecule: ribosomal RNA, 497 nt
Filed under: uncultured bacterium
Lineage: Bacteria
Description: partial 16S ribosomal RNA
Rfam family: Bacterial small subunit ribosomal RNA
Source: RNAcentral
GAUGAACGCUGGCGGCGUGCCUAAUACAUGCAAGUCGAGCGAACAGACGAGGAGCUUGCUCCGCUGACGUUAGCGGCGGACGGGAGAGUCACACGUGGAUAACCUACCUAUAAGACUGGGAUAACUUCGGGAAACCGGAGCUAAUACCGGAGAAUAUAUUGAACCGCAUGGUUCAAUAGUGAAAGACGGUUGUGCUGUCACUUAUAGAUGGAUCCGCGCCGCAUUAGCUAGUUGGUAAGGUAACGGCUUACCAAGGCAACGAUGCGUAGCCGACCUGAGAGGGUGAUCGGCCACACUGGAAGUGAGACCCGGCCCAGAGUCCUACGGGAGGGAGCCGUAGGGCAUCUUCCGGAAUGGGCGGAAGCUUGACGGAGCAACGCCGCGUGAGUGAUGAGGGUCUUCGGAUCGUAAAACUCUGUUAUUAGGGAAGAACACAUGUGUAAGUAACUCUGCACGUCUUGACGGUACCUGAUCAGAAAGGCACGGCUAACCACGUG